GGUGGUGCAUGGCCGUUCUUAGUUGGUGGAGUGAUUUGUCUGGUUAAUUCCGAUAACGAACGAGACCUUAACCUGCUAACUAGAUUCUUCCAUCUUAUGGUUGAUAUCUUCUUAGAGGGACUAUGUAAAACAAAUACAUGGAAGUUUGAGGCAAUAACAGGUCAGUGAUGCCCUUAUAUGUCCUGGGCUGCACGCGUGCUACACUGAUGCAUACAACAAGUGCCUAACCAGACAUGGUAUGGCAAUCUCGAAUAUGCAUCGUGAUGGGGAUAGAUCUUUGCAAUUA
Molecule: ribosomal RNA, 286 nt
Filed under: uncultured rumen protozoa
Lineage: Eukaryota
Description: partial 18S ribosomal RNA
Rfam family: Eukaryotic small subunit ribosomal RNA
Source: RNAcentral